This 1124-nucleotide ribosomal RNA is filed under the name uncultured Nitrosospira sp. RNAcentral's name for it is "bacterial SSU rRNA". It matches the Rfam family "Bacterial small subunit ribosomal RNA", at positions 198 to 1305 of the family's 1533-position model. The record is from RNAcentral. Lineage: Bacteria; Pseudomonadati; Pseudomonadota; Betaproteobacteria; Nitrosomonadales; Nitrosomonadaceae.
GGAGAAAAGCAGGGGAUCGCAAGACCUUGCGCUUUUGGAGCGGCCGAUGUCUGAUUAGCUAGUUGGUGAGGUAAAGGCUCACCAAGGCUCCGAUCAGUAGCUGGUCUGAGAGGACGACCAGCCACACUGGGACUGAGACACGGCCCAGACUCCUACGGGAGGCAGCAGUGGGGAAUUUUGGACAAUGGGGGCAACCCUGAUCCAGCCAUGCCGCGUGAGUGAAGAAGGCCUUCGGGUUGUAAAGCUCUUUCAGCCGGAAAGAAAUCGUGCAGAUUAAUACUCUGUAUGGAUGACGGUACCGGAAGAAGAAGCACCGGCUAACUACGUGCCAGCAGCCGCGGUAAUACGUAGGGUGCGAGCGUUAAUCGGAAUUACUGGGCGUAAAGCGUGCGCAGGCGGUUUUGUAAGUCAGAUGUGAAAUCCCCGGGCUUAACCUGGGAACUGCGUUUGAAACUACAAGGCUAGAGUGUGGCAGAGGGGGGUGGAAUUCCACGUGUAGCAGUGAAAUGCGUAGAGAUGUGGAGGAACACCGAUGGCGAAGGCAGCCCCCUGGGUUAACACUGACGCUCAGGCACGAAAGCGUGGGGAGCAAACAGGAUUAGAUACCCUGGUAGUCCACGCCCUAAACUAUGUCAACUAGUUGUCGGGCCUUAACGGGCUUGGUAACGAAGCUAACGCGUGAAGUUGACCGCCUGGGGAGUACGGUCGCAAGAUUAAAACUCAAAGGAAUUGACGGGGACCCGCACAAGCGGUGGAUGAUGUGGUUUAAUUCGAUGCAACGCGAAAAACCUUACCCACCUUUGACAUGUACGGAACUCGCCAGAGAUGGCUUGGUGCUCGAAAGAGAGCCGUAACACAGGUGCUGCAUGGCUGUCGUCAGCUCGUGACGUGAGAUGUUGGGUUAAGUCCCGCAACGAGCGCAACCCUUGUCAUUAGUUGCUACAUUCAGUUGGGCACUCUAAUGAGACUGCCGGUGAUAAACCGGAGGAAGGUGGGGAUGACGUCAAGUCCUCAUGGCCCUUAUAGGUGGGGCUACACACGUCAUACAAUGGCUGGUACAGAGGGUUGCCAACCCGCGAGGGGGAGCUAAUCCCAUAAAGCCAGUCGUAGUCCGGAUCGGAGUC